Pelobates cultripes (western spadefoot toad) is the source of this 249-nucleotide non-coding RNA. The record is from the annotation of a GenBank genome assembly. Lineage: Eukaryota; Metazoa; Chordata; Amphibia; Anura; Pelobatidae.
CCCUUGCACAGGAGUGUUAAAUUAGGAGAAUAUGAUUUGAACCACGGUUUCCCAGAGCAUAAAGACUCACACAGAGGAGACAGGAGCUGACAGUCUACUCCAGAAUACUCCAACUGGACCACAAGCAAGACAUGAGCCAAUAACCUUCUCUAGCCAGCUCUCCAUAGGAACAGGAGCUAAAAGACUGUUGCUCGUGCCUAUUUCAACUGGACCCCAUAAAGUCUCCCUUCUGCACACAAUAUGUAUGCG